This is a non-coding RNA of Pocillopora verrucosa, 357 nucleotides long. Lineage: Eukaryota; Metazoa; Cnidaria; Anthozoa; Scleractinia; Pocilloporidae. The record is from RefSeq and is a predicted model, not a curated record.
CUCGUUAUCUAAUUAUGAGCUGUAUUCAGAGCCUGUCGUUGUUAGUGUUUUCUUAGCGUACAUAUAUUGUUUGUAUAAUUUUGAAGUCAAUAGUAUGAUGCCCGAAAAUUUGAAAACGAAUGUGCCUGUACUCUACAUAUCUGACUGAAACUUGCUAAACAAAUCUCGUCAUGGCAUUUCGUCUUCCCUUGAGGUCACUUUCACGAGUCGUUCCAAGAAGGCUUUUUGCUCCUCCUGCUUCCAUCAGUCGGUCUUCUUUCGCAACGCUCGCUGAGAUUAUAUGCUGAUGAUACAUCUUCAACUGCUUCUGGAAGUGAUCUUGACAGUUUAUUGCGUGAAAUUAACAAUCAUUUACCA